AUGCACGCUGGCGGCGUGCCUCAUCCCUGCCAGUCGAGCGAACAGACGAGGAGCUUGCUCCUCUGACGUUAGCGGCGGACGGGUGAGUAACACGUGGAUAACCUACCUAUAAGACUGGGAUAACUUCGGGAAACCGGAGCUAAUACCGGAUAAUAUAUUGAACCGCAUGGUUCAAUAGUGAAAGACGGUUUUGCUGUCACUUAUAGAUGGGUCCGCGCCGCAUUAGCUAGUUGGUAAGGUAACGGCUUACCAAGGCAACGAUGCGUAGCCGACCUGAGAGGGUGAUCGGCCACACUGGAACUGAGACACGGUCCAGACUCCUACGGGAGGCAGCAGUAGGGAAUCUUCCGCAAUGGGCGAAAGCCUGACGGAGCAACGCCGCGUGAGUGAUGAAGGUCUUCGGAUCGUAAAACUCUGUUAUUAGGGAAGAACAAAUGUGUAAGUAACUAUGCACGUCUUGACGGUACCUAAUCAGAAAGCCACGGCUAACUACGUG
This 496-nucleotide ribosomal RNA is filed under the name uncultured bacterium. RNAcentral's name for it is "partial 16S ribosomal RNA". It matches the Rfam family "Bacterial small subunit ribosomal RNA", at positions 29 to 507 of the family's 1533-position model. The record is from RNAcentral.